This 72-nucleotide transfer RNA is filed under the name Ovis aries (sheep). It matches the Rfam family "tRNA". From Rfam's summary of the family: Transfer RNA (tRNA) molecules are approximately 80 nucleotides in length. Their secondary structure includes four short double-helical elements and three loops (D, anti-codon, and T loops). Lineage: Eukaryota; Metazoa; Chordata; Mammalia; Artiodactyla; Bovidae. The record is from Rfam by way of RNAcentral.
UCCCUCAUGGCUCAGCUGGUAAAGAAUCUGUCUGCAAUGCAGGAGACCCGGGUUCGAUCCCUGGGUUGGGAA